GACGAGGGAUCCUAGCGUUGUUCGGAAUUAUUGGGCGUAAAGCGGAUGUAGGUGGCUUUGUAAGUCAGGUGUGAAAGCCUAGGGCUCAACCCUAGAAGUGCAUUUGAUACUGCGAAGCUUGAGUGUGGGAGAGGAUAGUAGAAUUCCUGGUGUAGUGGUGAAAUACGUAGAUAUCAGGAGGAAUACCGGAGGCGAAGGCGGCUAUCUGGCCCAACACUGACACUGAGAUCCGAAAGCGUGGGGAUCAAACAGG
RNAcentral lists this ribosomal RNA (253 nucleotides) under uncultured bacterium. RNAcentral describes it as "partial 16S ribosomal RNA". It matches the Rfam family "Bacterial small subunit ribosomal RNA", at positions 524 to 776 of the family's 1533-position model. The record is from RNAcentral.